Long non-coding RNA from Halichondria panicea, 4481 nucleotides. RefSeq lists it as uncharacterized. The transcript has 4 exons. NCBI's taxonomy places the organism in Eukaryota, Metazoa, Porifera, Demospongiae, Suberitida, Halichondriidae. The record is from RefSeq and is a predicted model, not a curated record.
UGUCUUUUCCCCGGCAUUGAUUUUAUGGCUGCGACGUAACAUAAUGUGAGGACUACUUAUUGAUUUACACAAUAUAGAUUUACCAUUGAAAGCACUAUCCUUUAGGGCUACAUAAUAAUAAUGAAUGUGCUAUAGACUCAUGCAGGUGUUUGCAUGGUCCUCAAAGUUACCUCCCUCCACAGAUGGAGAAUAUGACGGUGCCGUUGCUGAGAGUGAGGAAAGUGGUGAAUGGCAGACCAGCCAAGAUAAUCAAACUACACAACCACACUUUGAGGGCUCUGAUCCUUGUGUGCUGAGUGUAGACUGGAGGAAGAGCAUUGGUGAGCUCAAGGAAGCCAUUGCUGAGCAAAAAACUGAGUGUAGACCGGAGGAAGAGCAUUGGUGAGCCCAAGGAAGCCAUUGCUGAGGGCUCUGAUCCUUGUAUGCUGAGUGUAGACCAGAGGAAGAGCAUUGGUGAGCUCAAGGAAGCCAUUGCUAAGAUAAGUACACCAGAACUAUCGUGUGUGUGUUCUUUGCAUGGCUACAUGAAUAAUAAUAGUUAUAUUUAGCAAGCUAUAUUAUAGCUUGCUAAAAUUACCAUAGGACAUCGAUGUUUCUCUGUACUCAUACUUUGUGACAUACAUUGUACCGUAUACUGGGUAUGACAUAUUGUAUUUGGCAAAUCAGGCAAAGGAUGGCCAAGUUGAACUAGUAAUGCGUGAUUAGUAAUGUCGUCAUGCAGCAUGAUCAUCAAAUUAAUACUUCAAUUGCCCCAUAAUUAUAUAAACGUAAUACUUGCCAAAUACACCCCUGAUACGGUUGAUUUAUUCUCGAUCUGCGGCUCGUUUACAUGAUGUUGUGUAUGUACUAGACUGUACAUUCACUGUUAGUAUUAUGGAUUUGGUAUAAGGAUAAUUUAUAUCACGUUGUCAAGGUAACAACGGUGUAAUAUAUUAUUUUUAUUACACGGUCGCGUAACCUUGAGGCAUGAUUUGGUAAGGGGUCGUCCUGCAUUUUCAAAGUUUCAAAGCUUCUGCCCUUGUUUACAUAUCAUCAUUACUGGUGUGGAAUGGUUUGGACUGUCUUUUAUGAGUUCGUACUAUACCCAGUGAUACGUAACAAACUUCCCAGCAUUAUUAGAAGAAUUGGAAUAAUUUUUCUCCUUAUCACGGUUUUCAGUAUUGUGUUUCUAAUUCUGGAACUACUAAAAAGCAAAUACGGUGAUUUAGUCAAAAUCUUACAAUCGUCUUUAAUUCAACUUUUAGAGGAUUGCUACAAUCUUGCUUUUUAGCGCCAUGAUAGAAUUAGUUUGUGCUCAAGCUCUAUACAACAUGAGAGGAUUGUUUGGAGGGUGUAUGGUGUUGGUGUUGUUAUCAUCUUUUACUAUUGUCACAAUUUCUCCAUUGAACAUUACCCUAACAAUGUGUGCAUGGGGUUGUAGUAGGCAUCAGUCUGCUUGGAUUCAUCCUGUACUGCCCCUGGCUCGCUGGUACAAGAGGAGAGUUAGAGACGAGGACUACAAUGCACACAGAGUGGUGGAGGAGGUCUAUGAUCGAUACUUGUCAGCUCAGCAUUAAUUAUUCCAUUAUACGAUUUUUUUUAGAUUUAUUAUCUGUGUUUUUGUCGAUCUUGCAUGUUCAGAACAUUAAUAUUUUCUGUGUUGGUUCAAUAGCUGUUAUGUCAACAGUGCUUGCACACCUAGUGUUUAUACACGAGUUUGUCAAUGCACAUCUUAUAAAGUUUGAUUCCCUUUGGGCAACUACUCUACUAAGCUCAGUAUUGACUUCCGAUAACGUAUAUGUAGUUUUAGACGUAACUAUAAUAACAUUUAAUCAACGUAACAAUAAUUGUUAAUUCAAUGUUUGCAAAUUACCCUAUAUGCCAUCAUCACUCUUUUGUUUGACAAGGGGAUGUUUUGUACCAGAUGUACCAAAUCAAUGAAUUUUUUCAUUCACUAUUGCAGUAUAAUUAUAAUUAUGAAAGCAGUUUGUCAAUGAACACUAUUGUUUGAGCUUGGCAUGUACGAAACUCACUCACAGUUAUACAUAUGCAUGACUGUUUAGUUAAUCACUAUAAAUUGAUUUAAAAAUACUGAAACUAAACUCUUAACAGUUCAUAACCAUUUGGGAGACAGUUAAACUUUCGUAUACAAUUGUCAAUUAAUAUUGCAUUUUCUUUUAUGGCUAUUAUUAACCCUACAAACGUUAAAUGAAUACAGUUUUCUUAUAUCUUCUUUGGACUGUGUUCUUGUCAUAGCAUUGUCGUCUGUAUAGUUUCGUUUCAUUGCUCUCUGUUAGUUGCUGUGGCUAGGUUUCCAUUCAUAAUUAUUAUAGUCAGGCUUUCAUUUUCGCAACACUCUGGUUGUGAGACAUAAAAACUCCGAGGGAUAUAUGCAUGAUGUAACUAUUAUUGACGGUACAUUCAUUGUUUUAACAACGGGAACUUUUACAAUAUGUACAUACUGUAUUAUUUGCAUAUGCAUAUAUUCCUCAUCUUUGCUAUGCAAACAGUUUGGAUUGUUUGAUGCUUUUUGAGCUUGUAUACAUGGAAUUUACGAAAACUGAAACUCCACUCUCAUUUGUAUGACUCAUGACUAUUAUUUUAGGGAAAGUAGUUGUUGCUGAUUAUGUGAACCAGCAUAUUUUAGUACCAGCUUGUAUCUGUGCAAGAAUUAAUAAGAAAUACUGUAGGCAAUAAUAUUGCUCUUAGGUAUAGUACCUAUAGUUACAGUAUAGUGUUAGCAAUCAUCCCUACAUGUGUGUCUAUGUGUGUCUGUGUCCGUUAUGAGACAAACUAACUCUGCAAACGGAGACAGUCCUCUGGUAUCAAGGAAUGGCUGCAAGUGCAAAUACAGACUGAGAUGGUUCUAUUCCAAGGGAGCCUUUCUUGUUCUGGUCUGGGUUAUGCUGAUGACUAUAUCCUGUGUAUCAAUGUCUCAUGUGUUUAAUGAGUUCCAUCAACAUGUAAAUUUUGUAAUUUUGAAAUGGCUACUUGCUAUCCCAAUUGUAUUUGGUUUGUUUGGAGCUGUUUUCUCAGGAUGGCUAGCCGACGCUAAGCUGGGGAACUACAGAGUGAUGAAAUACAGUUUUGUGCUAUUAUUCUUCCUUUGUUUGUUGUCUAGUACCUUCACCUUAGUUCCUGACAUUGCACAGUACGUGUAUGUUGUGAGUUUUUUGGUGUGCAUAGGUGGGAGUCUCUUUAUAAUAGCUGUGGUAGCAUGCGUUGUUACCUCACUACAAUUAGGCCUGGAUCAGAUGCCUGAUGCUUCAUCUUCCAAUAUCACUAGUUUUAUUGCCUGGUUUUUAUUCAGUAUCUAUGCUGGUGUUUGGAUCCCUGAUGCUUUCGAUUGGCCCAUUACCAUGUUUAGUAGUCGAUUACCACACUGGGUUACCCAACUUUACAGUUUGCUGCCACCUUUGUGUAUGAGUGUUGUUCUUAUUCUUGACUUUCUUCUAGCUAAGAAAUGGCUGAUAAUUGAGCCAAAGUCACCUCAGUCCCUCAAAACCAUAUACCGUGUUCUCAAGUUUGCAGCUAAGCACACAGCUCCCCUCAAUCGCAGUGCUCUCACAUACUGGGAGGAAGAUGUCCCUUCAAGAAUGGACCUGGGAAAGUCGAGAUACGGUGGACCAUUCACUACAGAGCAAGUUGAAGAUGUGAAGACCAUCCUACGUUUGUUACCCCUCUGCCUAGCGCUAUGGCUUCUUGGGUGCUCACAUGAAAUAUUCCAUCCACGAUCUUAUGGUAAUGUUUAUCCUCCUGAUUGGAAUUGUUAUGUUUCAAAGUUUUUGUCCUUGUUCACAUAUCACCAUUACUGGUGUGGAAUGGUUUGGACUGUCUUUUAUGAGUUUUUGCUAUACUCAGUGAUACGUAACAGGCUUCCCAGCAUCCUUAGAAGAAUUGGGAUAAUUUCUCUCUUUAUCACGGCUCUCAGUAUUGUGUUUCUAAUUCUGGAACUAUUACAAAAUAAUGAGGGUGAUUUAGUUGCAAUCAAGUAUGUUACAAUCGUUUUAAAUUCAAUUUCUCAGGGUUUGCUCACAAUGUUGCUUGCUAGUACCAUGAUGGAGUUAGUUUGUGCUCAAGCUCCAUACAACAUGAGAGGAUUGUUUGGAGGGUGUAUGGUGUUGGUGGUGUUAUCAGCUCUUCUUAUUGGCAGUUAUAUUCCUUCACAUAACGCUAACACAUUAACAAUAUUAUAUGGGGUUAGAGUAGGCAUCAGUCUGCUUGGAUUCAUCUUGUACUGCCUCCUGGCUCGCUGGUACAAGAGGAGAGUUAGAGACGAGUACUACAAUGUACACGGAGUGGUGGAGGAAGUCUAUGAUCGAUACUUGUCAGCUCAGCAUUGAUUGACUACAUUUAUUCCGUUAUACGAUUUUUUGCGAUAUCAUUGUUAUUAUCUUUAUUUUUGUUGAUCUUGCAUGUUCAGAACACUGUGUAUUGGUUAUAGACGUAACAAUAACUGUUAUUUCAACAGUCCUUACACACCUAUAGUAUUUAUACAUUCA